ACCUAUCGCUGCCAACCUACCUACCACUGCUAAUCUAUCGCUGCUAAUCUAUCGCUGCCAACCUACCUACCGCUGCCAACCUAUCUACCACUGCCAAUCUACCUACCGCUGCCAACCUACCUACCACUGCUAAUCUAUCACUGCUAAUCUAUCGCUGCUAAUCUAUUGCUGCUAAUCUAUCGCUGCUAAUCUAUUGCUGCUAAUCUAUCUAUCACUGCUAAUCUAUCGCUGCCAAUCUACCUACCGCUGCCAACCUACCUACCGCUGCCAACCUACCUACCACUGCUAAUCUAUCACUGCUAAUCUAUCGCUGCCAACCUAUAUAGGGUAAAUCAUGGUCCCAUUUGGUCCCAUUUUGUAAAAUGGGACCAAAUGGGACUGGGACCACUAAUUUAUUAGUAAAACAUGAUCUGGGACUAGAUUUAUAAUAUAAACAGUGUAAAGUGACUAAUUUACUAAACACUAUAUGGGACCAGGACUAAGAUAUCUAAUAAUGGGACUGAGGAAAAAUUU
RNAcentral lists this small RNA (513 nucleotides) under Histoplasma capsulatum. RNAcentral describes it as "hypothetical RNA". RNAcentral also lists the same sequence under 1 other name. Lineage: Eukaryota; Fungi; Ascomycota; Eurotiomycetes; Onygenales; Ajellomycetaceae. The record is from RNAcentral.